AUGGGCACGAAAAUGAGAAUAGAUAAUGGCUUGAAUGACAUGAUGCAAGUUGUCUCAUUCUUUGAACAGAAAAAAUCAGAAGAUCCUCUGUUUUACUACUCAUUCAAAACAGAUCCAGCUAAGAAUGUCAUGCAUAUAUUUUGGGCAGAUGGUACAGGUAUAAGGAACUAUCCGCAAUAUGGUGAUUUCCUAAGUUUUGACACAACUUACAAAACAAACAAGUACAAUCUGAAUUUUGCUCCAUUUGUGGGUGUAAAUGGACAUGGAGACAACUGCCUCUUUGCAUGUGGUUUCAUACAAGAUGAGAAGAAGGAAACUUUUGAGUGGUUAUACCAAACUUUUCCAAAGUGCAUGGGAGGGAAAGUUCCAAAAUCUGUCAUAACAGAUCAAAAUGCAGCAAUGAAGAAGGCAGUGCCUAAGUGUUUCCCUAAUUGCACGCACAUGAACUGUUUGUUUCAUAUACUAACAAAAGCACAAAACAAAGCAAGAAGAACAUUUUCAAGGAACCAGCAUUUGAACGCUCAAUUCCAUGACGUAAUCCUUAACUCACAAACAGUUGAGGAGUUUGAGCAGCUCUGGCCACAAAUGAUAGAGGAGCACAAAGUUCAACAUAUCAAGUACUUCGGAAUUAUGUGGAAAAACAGAAAGAGAUUUGUACCUGCGUUCUUCAAGAAUGACUUUUUCCCAUUCAUGCAAUCAACAGCAAGAAGCGAAGGAACAAAUGCUGUAUUCAAAGCAAAUGUAGGGUUAAGUCACAGUGUGAUUGCAUUCAUGACAGAGUUUGACAGAAUAUCACAAAGUAUUGAAGAAAAAAGAAAAGAAAAUGAUUCAGUAACAAGGAGAACAUCUCCAACUAUGUGGAGUGACUGGGCAUUGGAAAAACAAGCUGCAAAACUAUAUAACAGAGGCAUAUUCUACAAAUUUCAGCAAGAGUUGAUGAAUUCAACAAAAUUUCACAUGAUGGAAGUGGAAAAGAACAAACAAUAUGAGGUGUACAAAUCACCAACUCAAGCACUGCUUGACUAUAACCCGAGAACAUUCACAGUAAUUGUUGACAGAGAGUCAGAAAGUAUUGCAUGUGCGUGUGGGAAAUUUGAGAAGGAUGGCAUUCUGUGUUGUCAUGCACUCAAAGUCAUUCAAGCAUUAAACGUAGAUGAGUUGCCAGAAAAGUUUUUCAUUGACAGAUGGAGACCUAAGGAAAAGAGAGUAUUUCAAGGUAAUGAACAAGAUGCAAACCUUGAGGAUUUGGAUGAGCAAAUGGCAUUCUUCUUAUUUUCAAGAAGGCUAGUUCAACUAGCUUCUGAGGCAUCAAAAAAUCUUGCAAGGAGGAAAAUGUUAAAUGAGCAGAUAGAGAAUCUGGAAAAGUUAAUUUUAGACAUACCUUGCAUGCCAGAAAUGGAGCAAUCAAAAUGUUCUGCUUCAGAUAUAACAGCUAUCACAGGAGAAAUAAUGACUUCAGACAGCAAGGGGGAGAAAAAACUAAACGAUCCAGUAUACAUCAAACCAAAAGGAAGAAUCAAGAAAACAUGGAGGCAGAAAAGUAUAGUAGAAGAAAUCAUAUCAAAGCCUAAGGUGACAUGUUCAGGGUGCCAGAAGCAAGGACACAAUAUUACAGGUUGCAAGCAAAUAGAAGAAAAGUCUCCACAAAAACCUACAAAGACUGGGGCAAGGAGUAAUCAUUGUUCAUGCAAUGAGGAAGAAUAA
This 1704-nucleotide ribosomal RNA is filed under the name Triticum aestivum (bread wheat). RNAcentral's name for it is "partial small subunit ribosomal RNA". The record is from RNAcentral. Lineage: Eukaryota; Viridiplantae; Streptophyta; Magnoliopsida; Poales; Poaceae.